AUGCAUAUCACCCGGAGGGCUUGUUAAAGUACAGAUUCCUGAGCUCCAUCCCAAUUUCUGGUUCAGUAGGCUCAGGUGGUGCCUGAGAAUUGACAUUUCUAACAAGUUCCUAGGUGAUGUUGAU
RNAcentral lists this microRNA precursor (124 nucleotides) under Marmota monax (woodchuck). Lineage: Eukaryota; Metazoa; Chordata; Mammalia; Rodentia; Sciuridae. The record is from RNAcentral.